RNAcentral lists this ribosomal RNA (397 nucleotides) under uncultured bacterium. Its description in RNAcentral is "partial 16S ribosomal RNA". It matches the Rfam family "Bacterial small subunit ribosomal RNA", at positions 523 to 918 of the family's 1533-position model. The record is from RNAcentral.
AUACGUAGGGGGCGAGCGUUGUCCGGAAUGACUGGGCGUAGAGGGCGUGUAGGCGGUUGUCUAAGUCUGGAGUGAAAGUCCUGCUUUCAAGGGGGGAAUAGCUUUGGAUACUGGAUGACUUGAGUGCGGAAGAGGUAAGGGGAAUUCCCAGUGUAGCGGUGAAAUGCGUAGAGAUUGGGAGGAACACCAGUGGCGAAGGCGACUUACUGGGCCGUAACUGACGCUGAGGCGCGAAAGCGUGGGGAGCGAACAGGAUUAGAUACCCUGGUAGUCCACGCGGUAAACGAUGAAUGCUAGGUGUUGCGGGUAUCGACCCCUGCAGUGCCGGAGUAAACACAAUAAGCAUUCCGCCUGGGGAGUACGGCCGCAAGGUUGAAACUCAAAUGAAUUGACGGGG